This 519-nucleotide long non-coding RNA is filed under the name Nicotiana benthamiana. RNAcentral's name for it is "long non-coding RNA (NBEN_LNC007265)". Lineage: Eukaryota; Viridiplantae; Streptophyta; Magnoliopsida; Solanales; Solanaceae. The record is from RNAcentral.
UCUCUCACUAUUAGAGCGUAACAAUUCACUUCGUUCACCCACCCUCGCCUACGCUAUGAAAUGGAUAACCCCUGUUCCCCAUAGCUGCAGGAUUAUCGGGGCAUCGUUCAUUAUCUCACUCGACGGGCCCUUCUCCAGAAAAAGACAAUAGGCCGUGGCGAGACUGUCGACAUCGGUCAAAUCCGGACUGAUCGUCCUUGAAAUGACAGUCCUCGUAAGCUCAAGUCUCACUCGACGGACCCUUCUCCAGAAAAAGACAAUAGGCCGUGGCGAGACUGUCGACAUCGUUCAAAUCCGGACUGAUCGUCCUUGAAAUGACAGUCCACGUAAGCUCAACCCAGGAGUUCCCCCCUUGAAGUGAUUCAAUCCCUUGUUGAUCAAAAAGGCGAAAUUGCAGGAUACUGGACAUUUCAUUAAUAUAUACAUCGGCCGCCCACGAAUCGACCAGGAGUUCCCCCCUUGAAGUGAUUCAAUCCCUUGUUGAUCAAAAAGGCGAAAUUGCAGGAUACUGGACAUUUC